CCCCCCCCCCUCUCUCUCUCCUUCCUGCGAAGUUCCCACGGGAGUCCCAGGGAAAGGAGGGUUCUAUGAGGACCAACCUCUUGGGUGAAGUGGAGACACUUUGGUAAUAUAGGAAGAAGAAGAAGAAGAAAUCCCCUCAAGGUGACGAUCUUGCUGAAUUCUGGACCUCGUU
This is a non-coding RNA of Anolis sagrei ordinatus, 172 nucleotides long. Lineage: Eukaryota; Metazoa; Chordata; Lepidosauria; Squamata; Anolidae. The record is from RefSeq and is a predicted model, not a curated record.